UGCUGGAAGAUGGAGUGCUAUGGAGAGGAGCUUGUGGCGUAUGUGUUUUUCUGAGCUGUCACUUCUGUAAGCUGGGCUGGAGUAUUGUCCUGUCAAGUCCUGUCACGAUCUAAGUAUCAAAGGAGCCACCCACAAGUGAAGGAUACUAAAAAUGAAAAGCCAGGCUGCAAACCCCAGGGGAGAAACAUGACAAGGAAAGAGCCUGCAGAGAACAGCUUUCAUCAAUCCAACUGAUUUUCAGUCCACAGACCCCAAGCCUGCAGGAAGCUCUUCAGAGACUAAGUAAGCCCUUGUAGCAAGCCUGAAAAGGUAAAUGUAAUUACGGAUGCCUAUCAUAAUGUGACCAAAAGCAAUAUUAUAAC
Molecule: long non-coding RNA, 362 nt
Organism: Gorilla gorilla gorilla (western lowland gorilla)
Lineage: Eukaryota; Metazoa; Chordata; Mammalia; Primates; Hominidae
Exons: 3
Source: RefSeq, a predicted model, not a curated record